Molecule: ribosomal RNA, 253 nt
Filed under: uncultured bacterium
Lineage: Bacteria
Description: partial 16S ribosomal RNA
Rfam family: Bacterial small subunit ribosomal RNA
Source: RNAcentral
UACGGAGGGUGCGAGCGUUGUCCGGAUUUACUGGGCGUAAAGCGUGCGCAGGCGGUUUUGUAAGUCUGACGUGAAAGCCCCGGGCUCAACCUGGGAAUUGCGUUGGAGACUGCAAGGCUUGAAUCUGGCAGAGGGGGGUAGAAUUCCACGUGUAGCAGUGAAAUGCGUAGAGAUGUGGAGGAACACCGAUGGCGAAGGCAGCCCCCUGGGUCAAGAUUGACGCUCAUGCACGAAAGCGUGGGGAGCAAACAGG